This 463-nucleotide ribosomal RNA is filed under the name uncultured bacterium. RNAcentral's name for it is "partial 16S ribosomal RNA". It matches the Rfam family "Bacterial small subunit ribosomal RNA", at positions 28 to 507 of the family's 1533-position model. The record is from RNAcentral.
GACGAACGCUGGCGGCGUGCUUAACACAUGCAAGUCGAACGGAAAGGCCUUUUCGGAGGUACUCGAGUGGCGAACGGGUGAGUAACACGUGGGUGAUCUGCCCUGCACUCUGGGAUAAGCCUGGGAAACUGGGUCUAAUACCGGAUAGGACCGCACUUUAGUGUGUGUGGUGGAAAGUUUUUUCGGUGUAGGAUGAGCCCGCGGCCUAUCAGCUUGUUGGUGGGGUAAUGGCCUACCAAGGCGGCGACGGGUAGCCGGACUGAGAGGUUGGUCGGCCACAUUGGGACUGAGAUACGACCCAGACUCCUACGGGAGGCAGCAGUGGGGAAUAUUGCACAAUGGGCGCAAGCCUGAUGCAGCGACGCCGCGUGGGGGAUGACGGCCUUCGGGUUGUAAACUCCUUUCGCCAGGGACGAAGCGUUUUGUGACGGUACCUGGAGAAGAAGCACCGGCUAACUACGUG